CAGCCGCCACGGUAAUACGGAAGGUCCAGGCGUUAUCCGGAUUUAUUGGGUUUAAAGGGAGUGUAGGCGGUCUGUUAAGCGUGUUGUGAAAUUUAGGUGCUCAACAUCUAACUUGCAGCGCGAACUGGCGGACUUGAGUGCACGCAACGUAUGCGGAAUUCAUGGUGUAGCGGUGAAAUGCUUAGAUAUCAUGACGAACUCCGAUUGCGAAGGCAGCGUACGGGAGUGUUACUGACGCUUAAGCUCGAAGGUGCGGGUAUCGAACAGGAUUAGAUACCCGAGUAGUCCCUGUCUCUUAUAC
This 301-nucleotide ribosomal RNA is filed under the name uncultured bacterium. RNAcentral describes it as "partial 16S ribosomal RNA". It matches the Rfam family "Bacterial small subunit ribosomal RNA", at positions 509 to 807 of the family's 1533-position model. The record is from RNAcentral.